GUGGGGAAUUUUGGACAAUGGGGGCAACCCUGAUCCAGCCAUUCCGCGUGAGUGAAGAAGGCCUUCGGGUUGUAAAGCUCUUUCGGCAGGAACGAAACGGUGAGCUCUAACAUAGCUCGCUAAUGACGGUACCUGAAGAAGAAGCACCGGCUAACUACGUGCCAGCAGCCGCGGUAAUACGUAGGGUGCGAGCGUUAAUCGGAAUUACUGGGCGUAAAGCGUGCGCAGGGGGUUGUGUAAGACAGGUGUGAAAUCCCCGGGCUUAACCUGGGAACUGCGCUUGUGACUGCACGGCUAGAGUAUGGCAGAGGGGGGUGGAAUUCCACGUGUAGCAGUGAAAUGCGUAGAGAUGUGGAGGAACACCGAUGGCGAAGGCAGCCCCCUGGGCCAAUACUGACGCUCAUGCACGAAAGCGUGGGGAGCAAACAGGAUUAGAAACCCCUGUAGUCC
This 450-nucleotide ribosomal RNA is filed under the name uncultured bacterium. RNAcentral describes it as "partial 16S ribosomal RNA". It matches the Rfam family "Bacterial small subunit ribosomal RNA", at positions 354 to 796 of the family's 1533-position model. The record is from RNAcentral.